GGGGUGGACAGGCAGUGUCUGUGGGAAAACCAGCAUCACUAAAGCAGACAACGUGGGAGGCCCUCACCCGGGAGUCCCUCGGGGAAGGGCAGCUGCUUCAGGAAGGAGGCCGGAGGGUCCCCUCAGUGCAGGAAGCCAGCUCAGCCGCCCCAGGCCCAGAUGGGGAGGGGGCGAGGUGGGGGACAUGGAGCCGGGCCCCCUUGCAAGGAGCCCUGUGCAGAUGCAUGCAAGGACAGGGGCUGGCCAGCCCCAAAGCCCAGCUGUGUGGCCUGGGGCUGCUCUGGAGGGGCUGCCAGCUUAGCUAUCUCGGGGCCUUGAACUUUCUAUUCUGUUUUGCAAUCAGUUCAGAAGGCGGCAUUUCUAGAUUCCCUUCUUAUCACAGAGAAACUUCUAGCACAACAAUAGCUGAUUGUACUGCUCUCUGGGGUGCGGCUGCAUUCCUGGACACCCCCCACGUUUUUUUUUUUUUCGUGGUAUCUUUGGAACUAUAAUGGAUCUCAUUGUGAUUGGUCUGUUCAGGGGACAGUGUGGCCCUUGAAUUUAGAAGCGUGAAAGGGGAGUGGGGGCUGGGGAGAGGGUGGCAAAGGAGAGUAGCGGUGGGAGGGAACCCGGAGACAACCCGCGAGACAGCCAAGGGACAUCUCAGAGCAUCUCGGCGGUGUCCUGUUGCAUAACGCAGCUGGAAACUGCAUCCCCUGGACUGACUGGGUUUGAAAAUAUGUAGUUAUUUGUCAAACCACCAAUGUUUAUUUUCAUUCAGUUAUUAAGAAAUAAAAAGGGGUAGAUAAUUUUCACUCCCUGCCCGUGCCUGUCCGGCAGGACUCGGCAGCAGGUCGAUCCGGCGCAGACUCAUCUGAGUGUGACGUAGUGGCAGCCAGUCACAUCGUGUCCUCUGGAGGCCGCCUGCUGCUGCGCGGAGCCAGUGUCCAGGACCUGGGGCCGGGGGACCAGAGCUGGGACAGGCCCAGCCCCUGGGCGGCAUAGCUAUGUGGCCCCGGGAACACUGGCUCUCCAAGGCACAAGGCGUUUUCACCGGCUGCGUCCCAUUCAGUCUUCCCAGCAUGAUCCCAGCUCGGAGAAGCUGAGGCAAUAAAAGUGAAUUGAUUCAGAGAGAACGAGGAUGAAAUUUGCGUUGGGCAAGGAGCAGUGCAUAAACGCCAGUGAUGUCAGCACAGCCGCCCCCAGCCCCAACUCUCGGGCUACAGGAGGGCAAGCCCCGGAGAAGCCGGGCAGGAGUGAGAAAGCCGAGGCCCAGAGAGGUCAAGGAACCUGCUCAAGGUCACGCAGCUGGGACGUGGUCAAGCCCCACUGAGUCCCUCUGAAGCCAGGCUGGGGCCUCCAGUGAGUGGGGAAAGCCUAGAGGGGGCGCGGCAGAGCAGGCACAGGAUCCACCAGACGCCCUCGGAGGCCCUGCGGAAAGGCCAAGGGUUCUGAGAGCUCAACUCGGACCUUGGCAGGGGCCCAGGAGGACGACAGGACAACCCCCAGGCUCCUCUCUGCCUCGGUGACCCUCCCCACCCCAUCCCACCAACGUCUGAGCAAGACUUGCUGGAGCCACUGUAGGAGAGAAAGCUGCUGUUGCUACCGCCAGCCCAGCUCAGCUCCAACCUUCCUGGCUGUUUGCCUGUGAGGGCCCCAGGAGGAUAGAAAGGGACAUAUUUCAAGGGAGAAGGGACGUUUCCUUACAGGGAAACAAGCUGAGUGGUCUGUAACAUACCUGAGGCUUUAUUGCUAGGGACAGGCAGAGCUGGACUGGGGACCCAGGCUGCUUGACAUCCAGUGAGGGCUGCUCCUCCCUCUGCCCACUCGGUGACUAGCUUGCUGGGUAGCACCGGGCAAGGCUGUCUCCCUCUCUGACUGCUCACUCCCAGCUGUAGAGAGAGGUGGUUCCUGGAUCACGGAGCAGUGCCUGCCUAGGGUGCAGGCCUGGGCUCGGCACAGGGCCGAGAAGCUGCUGCUCUGCCCCGCCUCCGGGAGAGGUCCUGGCACUGCCAGCCCAUGAAUAAGGCCUGGCAGGGCGCCGGGCGAGGGUGUGCAGAGGUCAGCGGGGAGGGCCGAGUGGCAGCGUUCUUGGGACUGGCUGCCAGCUGCAGCUGGACCUGUUUGCCUGGGCUGGGCUGUCUCACUUCCCCUGGAGCGGAGAGGCCACUGGGGAGGAAGAACAGGUGUGGGCAGUGCUUCAGGGGCCCUUGAACUCCAGGAUGGCCAGCUCCUGCCACAGGGGACCCAGCCAGCCGUGGCCAGAGGCCAGGGAGCCACAUGCUGGAGCCGAGGACAGGCUGUCGUGAGAUCAGUUCGAGCCCCUAGCCCCCUUUCCCUGCAGGCCUGGCCUGGGGGGCUAGCACAGGCUGCCAGGGGAGGUCUCUUGCCCUGUGUGACAGGGGGUCCCAGCCUGUGGCCUGCAGCCAUCGACACCACAACAAGAUCUUUGCUGGGGUGUUCUGCAAAACCUCAGGAACCCUGUGCCCACAAACAGUGCAUGAAAGUCAACCAAGUAACCCUUCUGUGAUUAUUCAUUCAUCUGAGGUUUGCUCAGCAACUUUCAGUCAUCUCAAUCCUGUUGUGAUAAAAUGCAAAGUCCUCUGACAGCGUUGUGGGAUUGGGAGUAAGUGUUGCCUUUAGCAGACACCAAAAGUGCUACUGUUAUCUCAAGCAGGUGUGUGACUUUCUAUGACUUUAAAAGGGACCCUCCCAACUUCUGGGAAGCCAGGCCCCUCUGAUCUAGCCAAUGUACCCACCACUACCCAUAUUUGCCUCUCUCCCUGGCACCCAAGACUGGUGGAAGAGGAAAGCCCUCUUGUAGAGACAGCCCCACUUGUCCUGAUGGAGGCCAUGGCUCAUCCCCUCACCACAUGGCCUCACUGGGCUGGACCCUGGUGCAUGGCAUGGCUUGGGAAGGGAGGGGCUGCUCAGGACCUGAGACAGCACAGGCCGACCACCCCGUAAGGAUGGGAAGGAAGUCAGGAGUCCAUGCAGUGGCACAGGCCAGGGAGGGUGGACAUCGGGAGGGGGAAUGGAGGCUUGGCCUGUGCUGAAGGAGAGGGGUGGAGGUGGGCAUUGGGGUGGACCAUGCUCUAGUGGGGAGGUAUGGCCAGAGCAAGCAGGUAGAUGCAGUCACGGGGAGUCCAGUGAGGCGGACAGCCCUUUGCCCUCAUCCUGUGCUCAGUGGUGGGGUGCAGCGCGAGCUUCCACCUUCAUCUGUCCCCCACACACCACCACAGCCACAGACCACCUUGCCCUGCCCUGGAUGCAGGAAGACACCUGCACCUCACAAGCCAGCUUGGACAAAACCGAACUAGAGAAACGAAAUGCCAGGGUCACUACUGUGCCUUCCACUGAGGAGGUGACGCGAUGUGUGGAUGGCGGCUUGCCUCUGUGUCUGUGCAGGGCGGGUGUGUUUGUGUGUACACCAUCCACAGGCAGGUGCUCGGUGUGCAGUACAUGCACACACACACACACACAUGCACACACACACACACGCACACACACAUGCACACACAGACAUGUACACACACAUACACGCACACACACAUGCACACACGCACACACACGCACACACACACGCACACAGACAUGUACACACACAUGCACACACAUAUGCGCACACACACACGUACACACACAGAGGAAAACAUUUGCGUCACUGUCUUGCCAGGGUCUAUUGGUAACACACUAAGCACUUUGCAAGGGAAGGGACUUUCCAGGGACCCUGAGCAGUGUCCAGUGGAGAGGCUGUCAUCUCUGCCCCACAGCCGGAAGUGGCACCUCCCCACCCUUGUGCACAAGAGGCAAAUGGACACAGGCUCCCUGAGGCCCCACACUUCCCACAGACACCCCCCUUCCCGCACAGUCCUGGGUAGCUGGCAUUUUGGGCCAAUCCACAGUGGCUUUAGCGGUUGACCAUGGCUGAGAAUAUUUUGGGAACUGCCUUUUAGAAUCCGUUGACAAGACACACAGACGCUGCUGUCCCGGUACUUUGCAGCCUUAUCCAGGUUCACGUUGGUUUUCUCUGGAUUGGGCAGUAACUCCUCCUUCCCAGGGGAUGGUCACCUUUGUGACCCCACCCGGGUGGCUCUUUCCGACCAUCCUCUCCAUCAUGGGAGAAUCAUGGUUUCCCACCAGAAAGGCCACCCUGGUCACACGUGCUGGGAUCUGGGAGAGGAGUUCCUGAUGCAACCCUGGCGUCGGCGGGGCCACGGCACCACACAGGAAGGCCAAGCCAGCUGGAGAGGCCACAGUCCUGAGGUGUGUGUCACCCCGAUGUUUGUGGAGCCCCUUACAGCCAAUGCUGGCAGUGCUGGGAAUGCCCAUGUGGAAAAAGGAGAUGAGUUCCUGUCCUUGGGGAAGAGCUCAUGGCUGUGUUCUUCUUGGGGAGCACCGUGGCUGGGGAGAGGAAUACAAAUUCUGUCUCACCUUUUAUAACCCCUCCUUCAGGCCUUACGGUGAGGACCCAUCCAAAGCAGAACCAUGCCCAAAACAAGAUACCAACAAGGAAGCAUGGUGUAAGCACAGCUCACCGACAGCCGUUUCAUAUGGGGCUUCAGAACACCCAAGAGAGCUUUGUGUGACUCCAUUGACUUGAGGUGUCUAGAAUGGGCCAAUCCAUAGAGAUAGGAAGCCGAUUUGUGGUUUGCCCAGGGGCAGGGGCAGGAGGGGAAUGGGAGGCAAUGUCUCAUGGGUGCAGGUUUUCUUUGAGGGUAGAUGAAAGUGUUCCAGAAUUAGAUUAUAGUGAUGCUUGCACAACUAGAAAUUUACUAAAAACUAUUUAACUGUAUACUUUCAAUGGGAGAAUUUAUGGUAUGUUAAUUAUAUGUCAAUAGAGCUGUUAAAUAUUUGAAGUAUCAUGGGGAAAUGUUGCUGAAGGUAUUCAUCGGUAUGUACUUUCUGAUUUCAUUGUUUAAAAAAAAUGUGCUCAUAUAUAGUAGAAAGACUAGAAGGAAACACACCGAACGUUAACAGUGGCUUUGUCUGAGUAAAGGAACAAGAGAAUAUUUUAUUCUGCAUGUGCAAACAGCCAGGGGGCAGGAUCCGUCUAAAGUUGGGGUGAUGCUGCCAUCCUACAGCCCAGCCUCUGGACCAGCCCCUCCCUGCCCAAGGUGACCUGUGACUCAGCUGCAGCGGCAUCCAGCGGCCAGGGGUCAGCCCCUCCCUGGGAAGGGAAUGCUGUGGGCCUGCAGGGCGGGCAGCUCUGCUCUGUCCACUGUGUUUUGCCACCUGGUCGUUUUGCUGGCUGCCCAGCUCUGCUGUUAGGACAGAAGCAGUACGAGACAGGGAGUCCUACCUACCUGUUCCCAGUUGUGACCCGGAGCUUUGCAAAGGAGCUGGCUCAAUAAAUGUAUGGUGGAUGAA
RNAcentral lists this long non-coding RNA (5349 nucleotides) under Pan troglodytes (chimpanzee). RNAcentral's name for it is "lincRNA". The record is from RNAcentral. Lineage: Eukaryota; Metazoa; Chordata; Mammalia; Primates; Hominidae.